AGUGAACGCUGGCGGUAGGCCUAACACAUGCAGGUCGAACGGCAGCACAGUAAGAGCUUGCUCUUACGGGUGGCGAGUGGCGGACGGGUGAGGAAUACAUCGGAAUCUACCUUUUCGUGGGGGAUAACGUAGGGAAACUUACGCUAAUACCGCAUACGACCUACGGGUGAAAGCAGGGGAUCUUCGGACCUUGCGCGAUUGAAUGAGCCGAUGUCGGAUUAGCUAGUUGGCGGGGUAAAGGCCCACCAAGGCGACGAUCCGUAGCUGGUCUGAGAGGAUGAUCAGCCACACUGGAACUGAGACACGGUCCAGACUCCUACGGGAGGCAGCAGUGGGGAAUAUUGGACAAUGGGCGCAAGCCUGAUCCAGCCAUACCGCGUGGGUGAAGAAGGCCUUCGGGUUGUAAAGCCCUUUUGUUGGGAAAGAAAAGCAGCAGGUUAAUACCCCGCUGUUCUGACGGUACCCAAAGAAUAAGCACCGGCUAACUUCGUG
This 492-nucleotide ribosomal RNA is filed under the name uncultured bacterium. RNAcentral describes it as "partial 16S ribosomal RNA". It matches the Rfam family "Bacterial small subunit ribosomal RNA", at positions 29 to 507 of the family's 1533-position model. The record is from RNAcentral.